This 253-nucleotide ribosomal RNA is filed under the name uncultured bacterium. Its description in RNAcentral is "partial 16S ribosomal RNA". It matches the Rfam family "Bacterial small subunit ribosomal RNA", at positions 524 to 776 of the family's 1533-position model. The record is from RNAcentral.
UACGUAGGGUGCAAGCGUUAAUCGGAAUUACUGGGCGUAAAGCGUGCGCAGGCGGUUUUGUAAGUCUGUCGUGAAAUCCCCGGGCUCAACCUGGGAAUGGCGAUGGAGACUGCAAGGCUAGAGUUUGGCAGAGGGGGGUAGAAUUCCACGUGUAGCAGUGAAAUGCGUAGAGAUGUGGAGGAAUACCGAUGGCGAAGGCAGCCCCCUGGGAUAACACUGACGCUCAUGCACGAAAGCGUGGGGAGCAAACAGG